CUGGGGUAAUGGCUCAGUGGUAGAGUGCUCACCUAGCAUGCAAGAGGCACUGGGUUCAAUCCUCAGCACCACAGA
This 75-nucleotide transfer RNA is filed under the name Marmota monax (woodchuck). Its description in RNAcentral is "tRNA.Ala". Lineage: Eukaryota; Metazoa; Chordata; Mammalia; Rodentia; Sciuridae. The record is from RNAcentral.